RNAcentral lists this small nucleolar RNA (107 nucleotides) under Eutrema salsugineum. RNAcentral describes it as "Plant small nucleolar RNA R71". It matches the Rfam family "Plant small nucleolar RNA R71". From Rfam's summary of the family: R71 is a member of the C/D box family of snoRNAs containing the C (UGAUGA) and D (CUGA) box motifs. Multiple nearly identical copies of this snoRNA have been identified in Arabidopsis, and it is thought to function as a 2'-O-ribose methylation guide for 18S ribosomal RNA. Lineage: Eukaryota; Viridiplantae; Streptophyta; Magnoliopsida; Brassicales; Brassicaceae. The record is from Rfam by way of RNAcentral.
AAAUCAUGAUGAGGGGCAGUAUCUCUCAUACUCCUUGAAUCGCUCUCAGGCUUCAUAGAAUGAUUCUAUUGGGCCCUGUUGGAAACUUUGUAUCUUAUAUCUCAGCU